GUAGGUGAACCUGCGGAAGGAUCAUUAAAAAUUUGUUUGUAAGGUCUUGAGGAGAAAACCAACUACAAUACACGGCUCGUAUACUUGAUUCAGGUAGAGAGUCGUGUAAAGUAAGUGGAAUAACUCGGCCGAACAAAUACCAACAACUUGUGAAUUUGUAAUUUAUUCUUCACCAAUUGACUGUUAACGAAGUCUGAUUCAAUUAUUGAGGUGUUUAAAGACACUUACACAAAUAUUGAAACAACUUUUG
Molecule: unclassified non-coding RNA, 250 nt
Filed under: plant metagenome
Description: partial contains small subunit ribosomal RNA, internal transcribed spacer 1, and 5.8S ribosomal RNA
Source: RNAcentral